CGGACGGGUGAGUAACGCGUGGGUAACCUGCCUCAUACAGGGGGAUAACAGUUAGAAAUGACUGCUAAUACCGCAUAAGCGCACAGUACCACAUGGUACGGUGUGAAAAACUCCGGUGGUAUGAGAUGGACCCGCGUCUGAUUAGCUGGUUGGUGGGGUAACGGCCCACCAAGGCGACGAUCAGUAGCCGACCUGAGAGGGUGAUCGGCCACAUUGGGACUGAGACACGGUCCAA
RNAcentral lists this ribosomal RNA (235 nucleotides) under uncultured bacterium. RNAcentral describes it as "partial 16S ribosomal RNA". It matches the Rfam family "Bacterial small subunit ribosomal RNA", at positions 99 to 334 of the family's 1533-position model. The record is from RNAcentral.